GUUGAAAUAUUUCAAGCGGUUGCUUGAAACCCUGGGGAAGGAUUCAGGGUCUAGUGGGUGCAAGCCCGUGGAAGUUCGAGUCUUCUCUUCGGCACCA
Molecule: transfer RNA, 97 nt
Filed under: Deltaproteobacteria bacterium
Lineage: Bacteria; Pseudomonadati; Myxococcota; Myxococcia
Also listed under: 1 other name
Description: tRNA-Leu
Source: RNAcentral